RNAcentral lists this ribosomal RNA (465 nucleotides) under Vreelandella stevensii. RNAcentral describes it as "partial 16S ribosomal RNA". It matches the Rfam family "Bacterial small subunit ribosomal RNA", at positions 338 to 795 of the family's 1533-position model. Lineage: Bacteria; Pseudomonadati; Pseudomonadota; Gammaproteobacteria; Oceanospirillales; Halomonadaceae. The record is from RNAcentral.
CCUACGGGGGGCUGCAGUGGGGAAUAUUGGACAAUGGGGGCAACCCUGAUCCAGCCAUGCCGCGUGUGUGAAGAAGGCCCUCGGGUUGUAAAGCACUUUCAGUGAGGAAGAACGCCUGGUGGUUAAUACCCAUCAGGAAAGACAUCACUCACAGAAGAAGCACCGGCUAACUCCGUGCCAGCAGCCGCGGUAAUACGGAGGGUGCGAGCGUUAAUCGGAAUUACUGGGCGUAAAGCGCGCGUAGGUGGCUUGAUAAGCCGGUUGUGAAAGCCCCGGGCUCAACCUGGGAACGGCAUCCGGAUCUGUCAAGCUAGAGUGCAGGAGAGGAAGGUAGAAUUCCCGGUGUAGCGGUGAAAUGCGUAGAGAUCGGGAGGAAUACCAGUGGCGAAGGCGGCCUUCUGGACUGACACUGACACUGAGGUGCGAAAGCGUGGGUAGCAAACAGGAUUAGAUACCCCAGUAGUC